AGCCAGGAGCUCCCUGUCUGCUGCCCGGUGGGCGGGCGCACCUAGGGGAGGAAGGGGCACGGUUAGAAUGUGCUCAGCUGCAAGGCAAAUCCAGCGUUAGUCGGGCCUGUCUGGGUGUGUGUGUGUGUGUGUGUGUGUGUGUGUGUGUGUGUGUCAAGGUGUCUCCUCCUCGCUUGCUUCUGGGAGGGGGAAGGGCCCGUGUCCGCACAAGGAACAAGAUGACUCACUGUAGGGGACACAGUCGUACUGCACCUCCAGGUACUUGUAGGUCCCAGGACAGGGGUCGGGAAAGGCGUCAGAGCCGGCAACCACCACGCACUGGGUGCGGUUGUUACACCUGAGAGAAGAGACAAGGAGCUGAGAUAAGACAGGCCUAGAACUGGGGGCGGGGGGGAGGGGGGGCGGCAUCUAGGGCCGGGAGAGGAACGCGCCCCCCCCCAGGCUGAGAAGAAACUGUGGCGACCAGGGCCGGCGGCCUUGUGUGGGCAUCAUGUCCCGUUUCCUGCCUGCUCUCUCCUUCCCACCACACAGGUUUCUUCUGUUCUCAGCCUCAGGGCUGGGCCAGAGCUGCGCCCCAGAAACUGCCUCCCCGGCUGCCCUUCGCCAUUUUCAUCCCAUCGGAGGGUCACGCCCGCCGUUACAUCCUUGGCGUUUUUCCCGAAUUGACCAUAAGACGCGAGGCCACACGUGCGGGGACGAAGUGGCGUCUCCGCCAAAGUGCUGCUAACGAGACGCUCACGGCGCCUGUCUGCGUCCACCUCAGGCCACGUCUCAGGCGUACGUGUCUCGGCCUUUGGAUGGCGCCGCUGUGACCACGUGCAGGUAGGACACGGGCAGUCUCUCGGCCUCGUGCGGAAGCCACUCUCAGUUCCCCGAGGGGACUCGGGAGUCCCCACCCACUGCCCGGGAGCCGGGCUAGCACGUGAGGGGACUCCCUAACGACAAAACGAGGUUUCUCCUCUGCUGUCUCUCCAACCACCCACCUCAUCCCCCUGGCUCAAAACACAGAGCACUGGCCUCGGAAGGUUAAGUAGAGGGUUGCCCAGGACCCGGCAACUGCACCCCUAGCCGUGUUCCCAAAGACCCGGAAGCGGGCGCUCAAACAACUGCUUGUACGUUCACGGCAGGACCGCUGUCGCGAGAGCCAAAGUGGGGGAACAGCCCCACUGUCCGCUGACGGAUGAACGGAUGAGCCAAAUGUCGGUCCGUGCCGUGGAACAUUAUUUGGCCAUAAAAA
Molecule: long non-coding RNA, 1237 nt
Organism: Herpailurus yagouaroundi (jaguarundi)
Lineage: Eukaryota; Metazoa; Chordata; Mammalia; Carnivora; Felidae
Exons: 2
Source: RefSeq, a predicted model, not a curated record